Molecule: ribosomal RNA, 400 nt
Filed under: phytoplankton environmental sample
Lineage: Eukaryota
Description: partial small subunit ribosomal RNA
Rfam family: Eukaryotic small subunit ribosomal RNA
Source: RNAcentral
AGCUCCAAUAGCGUAUAUUAAAGUUGUUGCAGUUAAAAAGCUCGUAGUUGGAUUUAUGGUCAGAGUGGCCGGUCUGGCACGAACGUGCUAGUACUUUGUGCUGCCUUUGGCCUUCCUUUGGGAGAGCUUGUGUGGGCAUUCAUUUUGUCUGUGCAAGGGACCCCAAUCAUUUACUGUGAAAAAAUUAGAGUGUUUCAAGCAGGCAUUUGCUGUGAAUACAUUAGCAUGGAAUAAUAAGAUAGGACUUUGGUGCUAUUUUGUUGGUUUGCACACCAAGGUAAUGAUUAACAGGGACAGUUGGGGGUAUUCGUAUUUAAUUGUCAGAGGUGAAAUUCAUGGAUUUAUGAAAGACGAACUACUGCGAAAGCAUUUACCAAGGAUGUUUUCAUUGAUCAAGAAC